UACGUAGGGUGCGAGCGUUGUCCGGAAUUAUUGGGCGUAAAGAGCUCGUAGGCGGUGUGUCACGUCGGCCGUGAAAACCUGCAGCUUAACUGUGGGCGUGCGGUCGAUACGGGCAUCACUGGAGUUCGGCAGGGGAGACUGGAAUUCCUGGUGUAGCGGUGAAAUGCGCAGAUAUCAGGAGGAACACCGGUGGCGAAGGCGGGUCUCUGGGCCGAUACUGACGCUGAGGAGCGAAAGCGUGGGGAGCAAACAAG
RNAcentral lists this ribosomal RNA (254 nucleotides) under uncultured bacterium. RNAcentral describes it as "partial 16S ribosomal RNA". It matches the Rfam family "Bacterial small subunit ribosomal RNA", at positions 524 to 776 of the family's 1533-position model. The record is from RNAcentral.